CCCUUAGAUGUUCUGGGCCGCACGCGCGCUACACUGAUGCAUUCAACGAGUCUAAAACCUGCUCUGAUAGGGGUGGGUAAUCUUUUGAAUGUGCAUCGUGAUUGGGAUAGAUGAUUGCAAUUUUUCAUCUUCAACGAGGAAUGCCUAGUAAACGCAAGUCAUCAGCUUGCAUUGAUUACGUCCCUGCCCUUUGUACACACCGCCCGUCGCUCCUACCGAUCGAAUGAUCCGAUGAAUAUCAUGGAUUGAGGAUGCAAGUAGGUUAGCCUAUCUUCAUCUUCGAGAAGUGAAGUAAAUCUUAUCAUUUAGAGGAAGGAGAAGUCGUAACA
This 329-nucleotide ribosomal RNA is filed under the name uncultured eukaryote. Its description in RNAcentral is "partial 18S ribosomal RNA". It matches the Rfam family "Eukaryotic small subunit ribosomal RNA", at positions 1470 to 1796 of the family's 1831-position model. The record is from RNAcentral.